This 497-nucleotide ribosomal RNA is filed under the name uncultured bacterium. Its description in RNAcentral is "partial 16S ribosomal RNA". It matches the Rfam family "Bacterial small subunit ribosomal RNA", at positions 28 to 507 of the family's 1533-position model. The record is from RNAcentral.
GACGAACGCUGGCGGCGUGCCUAAUACAUGCAAGUUGAGCGCUGAAGGUUGGUACUUGUACCAACUGGAUGAGCAGCGAACGGGUGAGUAACGCGUGGGGAAUCUGCCUUUGAGCGGGGGACAACAUUUGGAAACGAAUGCUAAUACCGCAUAAAAACUUUAAACACAAGUUUUAAGUUUGCAAGAUGCAAUUGCAUCACUCAAAGAUGAUCCCGCGUUGUAUUAGCUAGUUGGUUAGGUAAAGGCUCACCAAGGCGAUGAUACAUAGCCGACCUGAGAGGGUGAUCGGCCACAUUGGGACUGAGACACGGCCCAAACGCCUACGGGAGGCAGCAGUAGGGAAUCUUCGGCAAUGGACGAAAGUCUGACCGAGCAACGCCGCGUGAGUGAAGAAGGUUUUCGGAUCGUAAAACUCUGUUGGUAGAGAAGAACGUUGGUGAGAGUGGAAAGCUCAUCAAGUGACGGUAACUACCCAGAAAGGGACGGCUAACUACGUG